AAAAUUAUUUUGCUUGGUUGCCUUUUUUUUUUUUUGGUUGCCUUUUGUGGACAUCGAAACAACGCACCUGCAACAUCACGCCUCCGUCGACAUGACUGACAGCUGCUUGUCCCGCCUCCCCGACAAACCCGCGCGGCUCGCCCGAACCUUGACGGAAGCGCGCGCCGAUUGGCCAGGGUCCUGCCGGUGACGGAUUGGUCGCGUGACGUCUCGCCCGGUCCAAGACCCGGAACGGUGUUCAUCCGGCUUUUGCGACAGCGCGAACGACUACUCGGCGCGUCGUUUGCCGAGGCCGCGACUGGACGUGGCGCGCCAGCAGACAAAGCAAAGGUGGCCGAGGCAUUUGCGUGUCAAUCGUAAUCUCUUUAUAUCUUGGGGGACUAAAAUCUCUGGGAGGCAACACAACACCACAAAUGUUAGAAGGAACAAAGAACCAAUUGAAACUUGAAAACGUCUACACGUGAACUUGCUCGUGUGGGUAUGUGUGCUGCGGAAGUUUGGAAAGGUUCCAUGUCAACUGCAAGAACAACCGAGUGUAACCCAGCCUUGAUAAGACUGUUAUUUUAUUGUUAGUUUCUGUAGGGUGAUAUUUGUUUUUGAUACUGCUGUUUCCGAGGGACGACGAACGCAGCGCUCGGAGCGAGGACUCGUUAGCGAGAGAGACGGAACAUUCUCGCACUUUCCCAGGCGGGUCGAACGAAAGAACGAUAAAUGAAAACUUGUCCUUGAACCUCUACCUGUGCAAGAUAGUAGAGUUGUAUCCUGUGGAAAUCUUUCUCUUUUUUCUUUCCAAGGCAAGAGAAGGGUUUAGAAGAGAUAACCUUCCUGGCUGUUUUUUGGGGGGACUCCUAGACCAUCAAAAGAUGGGACUACGUAGUCUGGAGACUGGAUGCCACGUGGGACGUUGGUGAAGGACAUCUCGGACUUCAAAGCCACCCGUCCCCUUGGAGGGUGGCAGGACAGUUGAAAGGAUUUCCCUCUUUUUUUUCUGACGAAACCAGCAUUUUUUUGUUGAAUCUGAGAUCUCAGUGGUUUUUUUCAUGGGUCAGAUCUGAUACCAAAAA
Hippocampus zosterae (dwarf seahorse) is the source of this 1064-nucleotide long non-coding RNA. RefSeq lists it as uncharacterized. The record is from RefSeq and is a predicted model, not a curated record. NCBI's taxonomy places the organism in Eukaryota, Metazoa, Chordata, Actinopteri, Syngnathiformes, Syngnathidae. The transcript has 2 exons.